UCCCGAGCUAGUAAGACCAUUGUUAAAGGAGUUCGAGGAGUUGAUGUCAGAUGACAUACCGGAUGGAUUCCCACAUUGAUCUUAUUCUGGGUGCUAGCUUGCUAAAUUUGCCACACUAUCACAUGAGGGGUAAGAGAGUGAGAUACUUAAGGAGAAAGUGAAGGAGCUCUUGCAAAAGGGGCUUAUUAAGGAAAUCAUGAGUCCAUGUGCUAUUCCCACAUUGUUAACACCUAAGAAAGAUGGGAGUUGGAGGAUGUAUGUAGAUAGUUGUGUCAUCAACAAAAUUAUGGUGGGCUAUAAAUUCCCAAUUCCAUAAUUGGAUGAUAUGUUGGAUCAAUUACAUGGUGCUAG
Molecule: unclassified non-coding RNA, 351 nt
Filed under: Hevea brasiliensis (rubber tree)
Lineage: Eukaryota; Viridiplantae; Streptophyta; Magnoliopsida; Malpighiales; Euphorbiaceae
Source: RNAcentral